Molecule: transfer RNA, 72 nt
Filed under: bacterium
Lineage: Bacteria
Description: tRNA-His
Rfam family: tRNA
About the family: Transfer RNA (tRNA) molecules are approximately 80 nucleotides in length. Their secondary structure includes four short double-helical elements and three loops (D, anti-codon, and T loops).
Source: RNAcentral
GUGCCUAUGGUGUAAUGGUUAGCACGAGAGUUUGUGGAGCUCUCAGUUCGGGUUCAAAUCCCGAUAGGCACC